GCCUGGGUGGCUCAGUUGAUUAAGUGACCGACUUUAGAUCAGGUGAUGAUCGCAUAGUUUGUGGGUUCAAGCCCCACACCAGGCU
RNAcentral lists this transfer RNA (85 nucleotides) under Felis catus (domestic cat). It matches the Rfam family "tRNA". Rfam says of the family: Transfer RNA (tRNA) molecules are approximately 80 nucleotides in length. Their secondary structure includes four short double-helical elements and three loops (D, anti-codon, and T loops). The record is from Rfam by way of RNAcentral. Lineage: Eukaryota; Metazoa; Chordata; Mammalia; Carnivora; Felidae. RNAcentral also lists the same sequence under 2 other names.